UGGGGAAUAUUGGACAAUGGGCGAAAGCCUGAUCCAGCCAUGCCGCGUGUGUGAAGAAGGUCUUCGGAUUGUAAAGCACUUUAAGUUGGGAGGAAGGGCAUUAACCUAAUACGUUAGUGUUUUGACGUUACCGACAGAAUAAGCACCGGCUAACUCUGUGCCAGCAGCCGCGGUAAUACAGAGGGUGCAAGCGUUAAUCGGAAUUACUGGGCGUAAAGCGCGCGUAGGUGGUUCGUUAAGUUGGAUGUGAAAUCCCCGGGCUCAACCUGGGAACUGCAUUCAAAACUGUCGAGCUAGA
This 298-nucleotide ribosomal RNA is filed under the name uncultured Pseudomonas sp. RNAcentral describes it as "partial 16S ribosomal RNA". It matches the Rfam family "Bacterial small subunit ribosomal RNA", at positions 355 to 645 of the family's 1533-position model. The record is from RNAcentral. Lineage: Bacteria; Pseudomonadati; Pseudomonadota; Gammaproteobacteria; Pseudomonadales; Pseudomonadaceae.